GUCAGUUUAAUGUUCGACUAAUGUCACAAUGCCUAGUAUUUUGGGAUAGAUAUUUUAUUGCAAAUACAGUUUUGCUCACAUUAGGAUUGCAAGUUAAUAUGUAGAUGAAACCUGAAAGUUAUUUUAGAAGAACAUUUUAGAAGCUAGCUCAAGGAAGUUCGUUGAUAUAUGAAGCAUUGAAUCGUUUUAACGAGAUAUUAUUUAUGAAAGCAACUGUUUCACAAUAUAUGAGGAAAGGGAUUUAGGAGUGAUUAUUUCUGAUGACUU
This is a non-coding RNA of Pelobates cultripes (western spadefoot toad), 267 nucleotides long. NCBI's taxonomy places the organism in Eukaryota, Metazoa, Chordata, Amphibia, Anura, Pelobatidae. The record is from the annotation of a GenBank genome assembly.